CAGCAGCCGCGGUAAUACGAAGGGGGCUAGCGUUGUUCGGAAUUACUGGGCGUAAAGGGCGCGUAGGCGGCGAUCAAAGUCAGGCGUGAAAUUCCUGGGCUCAACCUGGGGGCUGCGCUUGAUACAGGCAGUCUAGAGUGAGGAAGAGGGUUGUGGAAUUCCCAGUGUAGAGGUGAAAUUCGUAGAUAUUGGGAAGAACACCGGUGGCGAAGGCGGCGACCUGGUCCUUUACUGACGCUGAGGCGCGAAAGCGUGGGGAGCAAACAGGAUUAGAUACCCGGGUAGUCCCUGUCUCUUAUAC
RNAcentral lists this ribosomal RNA (301 nucleotides) under uncultured bacterium. RNAcentral describes it as "partial 16S ribosomal RNA". It matches the Rfam family "Bacterial small subunit ribosomal RNA", at positions 509 to 807 of the family's 1533-position model. The record is from RNAcentral.